GAUGAAGAACUUAGCAAAAUGCGAUAAGUAAUGUGAAUUGCAGAAUUCAGUGAAUCAUCGAAUCUUUGAACGCACAUUGCGCCCGCCAGUAUUCUGGCGGGCAUGCCUGUUCGAGCGUCAUUUCAACCCUCAAGCACAGCUUGGUGUUGGGACUCGCGUUAAUUCGCGUUCCCCAAAUUGAUUGGCGGUCACGUCGAGCUUCCAUAGCGUAGUAGUAAAACCCUCGUUACUGGUAAUCGUCGCGGCCACGCCGUUAAACCCCAACUUCUGAAUGUUGACCUCAGAUCAGGUAGGAAUACCCGCUGAACUUAAGCAUAUCAAUAAGCGGAGGA
Molecule: unclassified non-coding RNA, 332 nt
Filed under: soil metagenome
Description: partial contains 5.8S ribosomal RNA, internal transcribed spacer 2, and large subunit ribosomal RNA
Rfam family: 5.8S ribosomal RNA (bases 1-120)
Source: RNAcentral